Molecule: long non-coding RNA, 465 nt
Filed under: Homo sapiens (human)
Lineage: Eukaryota; Metazoa; Chordata; Mammalia; Primates; Hominidae
Description: HSALNT0324280
Source: RNAcentral
GUCAAAACGGACACCUCUGAAACAAAGACAGAUUAACAAGAGAAAAGCCCAACAAAUAUAUUCGACCACAGCUUUACAAUACACAGGAGCCUUCGGAAUGAAGACCCAAAGACCCAAGAAAAAGUCCGAGAGGGCAACGCCAUGGGGCUGAGCUGCUCAAUGCCCUCCCAGUGCAUCCUGCUGCAAGGAUGCCCCCCAGGAUGCUGCCUCACCUAACCAGCCGCUCCAGGAGUGGCCCCCAGCCCCCACCCCAUGGAGCUUCGACUUCCUGGUGACCAGUGCUCCAGUAACCUCUAAGUGCUUGAACCACGCCUGUCAGCCAGUUAUGGCUUUGGCUCUGAGAGCCCCCCUGACCAACUUAACCAAUGCUUUUUUUCUGUAAGAAAUUGCCACUUACUGUUGGUUUCUGUCCGACCCGGUGAGAUACUUGAGGCUUCCCCUACCUGUGCACACAACGAAAUGAAG